Molecule: ribosomal RNA, 504 nt
Filed under: uncultured bacterium
Lineage: Bacteria
Description: partial 16S ribosomal RNA
Rfam family: Bacterial small subunit ribosomal RNA
Source: RNAcentral
AUUGAACGCUGGCGGCAUGCCUUACACAUGCAAGUCGAACGGCAGCAUGGAGAGCUUGCUCUCUGAUGGCGAGUGGCGAACGGGUGAGUAAUGCAUCGGAACGUACCGUGUAAUGGGGGAUAACGCAGGGAAAGUUACGCUAAUACCGCAUACGACCUGAGGGUGAAAGCAGGGGAUCGCAAGACCUUGCGUUAUACGAGCGGCCGAUGUCAGAUUAGCUAGUUGGUGAGGGAAAGGCUCACCAAGGCGACGAUCUGUAGCGGGUCUGAGAGGAUGAUCCGCCCCACUGGGACUGAGACACGGCCCAGACUCCUACGGGAGGCAGCAGUGGGGAAUUGUGGACAAUGGGGGCAACCCUGAUCCAGCCAUGCCGCGUGAGUGAAGAAGGCCUUCGGGUUGUAAAGCUCUUUCGGCCGGGAAGAAAUCGCACAGGCUAAUACUCUGUGUGGAUGACGGUACCGGCAUAAGAAGCACCGGCUAACUACGUGCCAGCCGCCGCCGUAA